Molecule: long non-coding RNA, 1646 nt
Filed under: Rattus norvegicus (Norway rat)
Lineage: Eukaryota; Metazoa; Chordata; Mammalia; Rodentia; Muridae
Description: long non-coding RNA NONRATT021250
Source: RNAcentral
AUUCCUGUAAUGGCUGCUUUCAGUCAGGUAAGGCACAAACUCCGCUCCCCGGGAUUCCAGGACUGAUUCUCCGAGUGCAGUUGCAGAACGCAACAAAUUUGCACCCUCCCAGAGCGAAGGAACUCCCGAUCUUUAUGUCAGAUCUCGGGAUGAAUUUGCUUCUCGGCUUGGUUUCGUUUAGCUAUCUGUGUGUGAUAACUAACUUUAAAUCUAGUAGUCUCUUUUUGAACGAACUGUUAGGGAGUAUUUUCUGUACUCGUUACCAAUUUCCGUCCUUGCAUUUCUUUCCUUAUUGACUCUAGCUUCCUCUUUAAAAUAGGCUGUGUCACGAGUAACCUCUUAGCCUCAGCAUCCGGAAGUUCCAAAGAGAAUAUUUCACGUUGGAUAGAAUUUUACAUAUACCAUUGUUUUUGGUAAGUCUUAUUAAUUCCUUUCAACUUCACAGAGUCACGUGUUGUGUUGUUUGACUUUUGCCAGAUUUAGCUGCAUUUUCUAGAUAGGAGGCAUGCUAAGAAAAUGUGACUUUUACUUGUUAGGGUAUUUUAAGUUUGCAAGUAUCUUGUGAAUUUUUCCCUCUCUUUUCUAAUGCUGUACAGCUGUCCAGUUUCAGUUUGGUCAAUGCAUAUACUGUUGGAAUUCCUAUCGGAAUUGCCGGUUUGAGGGUGUUGUCAUGAGAUUAACCUAAAAUGACUGUCUUUAGUUUUGUCAUCUUGAACUGACAUCUGAAAUGAUUCACAAACUCCAGUCUAAAAGACUGUUGUCUAUUUAUAUUGUCAUUCAAAAAAGUCAGGCUUUUUUUUAACAGUUUCUUUUGUUCCGUGUUUAAUUUCUAGGCAGGUUCAGCCCUCCAGAUCCUAACAUCAUGAAUUCAGUUCCAACACAACUGAUCUUAGUCCUUACUUCGCUGCUUUUGAUCCUGCCUGGCGUUGAAGCAGUCGAAGCUGGAGAUGCGAUUGCACUCUUAUUAGGUGUGGUUCUCAGUGUUACAGGCAUCUGUGCUUGCUUGGGGAUAUAUGCAAGAAAGCGAAAUGGACAGAUAUGACUUUGAAGGACUCUUCUGAAUUAGACUUCACCCUGACCAUUGUGCUGAAAACCCUUGUGCUGUUGAGGCCGAACCCAAGAUUUGCUCUCACCUGUCCUCAGAAAGAGGAUUACAGUUAGCUGAGGGUUAACACCCUCAGUUAAGAGAAUGCUUUCCUGUUCAUACUUGUUUCUCCUAUGAUGGGAGCAGAUGGGGUGGGGGGAGAGGCUCUUAACAACAAAGAGUGCAGUAAUAAUGUGGCCCAUAAUUUGUAUUUGCUGCUUGGGAGGUGGCCAAAGCGAGAGGGCUUAAGUUUGCAAAAGUAUUAUCUCAUACUUUGAAAGUGUUUGUUCAGAAUCUAGUAAAUCUACAUCGUUAUUAUAAUCACUGCCUCUUGCAUUCUGGGGGUUCUCUCUUUCAUUUGGGGGGUUGGAUUGGGUUUUGGAUUUGUUUUUUUGUUGUUACUGUUUUCUUUUUAAUGCUUCUGUUUUUAACAUAGUUGUACUUAGAUCUUAAUAGCCAAAAAUUGAAACUUUUAACUCUGAGGAAAAGUUUAAUAAAAAUGUAUUAAAUGUAUCUAAUACUAAAAUGGUGAAAAUAUUUGUUAAAAAAAUAACUAUACAUU